Molecule: ribosomal RNA, 468 nt
Filed under: uncultured bacterium
Lineage: Bacteria
Description: partial 16S ribosomal RNA
Rfam family: Bacterial small subunit ribosomal RNA
Source: RNAcentral
GACGAACGCUGGCGGCGUGCCUAGCACAUGCAAGUCGAACGGAAAGGCCCUGCUUUUGCGGGGUGCUCGAUUGGCGAACGGGGGAGUAACACGUGAGUAACCUGUCCUUGACUUUGGGAUAACUUCAGGAAACUGGGGCUAAUACCGGAUAGGAGCUCCUGCUGCAUGGUGGGGGUUGGAAAGUUUCGGCGGUUGGGGAUGGACUCGCGGCUUAUCAGCUUGUUGGUGGGGUAGUGGCUUACCAAGGCUUUGACGGGUAGCCGGCCUGAGAGGGUGACCGGCCACAUUGGGACUAAGAGAGGGCCCAGACUCCUACGGGAGGCAGCAGUGGGGAAUAUUGCACAAUGGGCGGGAGCCUGAUGCGGCAACGCCGCGUGCGGGAUGACGGCCUUCGGGUUGUAAACCGCUUUCGCCUGUGACGAAGCGUGAGUGACGGUAAUGGGUAAAGAAGCACCGGCUAACUACGUG